GGUCAAGCAAUAAGGGCACAGGGCGGAUGCCUUGGCACUAAGAGCCGAUGAAAGACGUGAUAAGCUGCGAAAAGCUUCGGGGAGGAGCAAAUAUCCCGUGAUCCGGAGAUGUCUGAAUGGGGAAACCCGCAUGAGCAGACCUCAUGCAUCCAUACGCCAAUCCAUAACGUAUGGAAGGGAACCCGGGGAACUGAAACAUCUAAGUACCCGGAGGAAAAGAAAGAAACAUCGAUUCCGUAAGUAGCGGCGAGCGAACGCGGNNNNNNNNNNCGGCGAGCGAACGCGGAGGAGCCUAAACCGGUGUGCGUGCAUGCCGGGGUCAUGGACUGCAUUUAAGAUUCAGCGAAGUUAACAGAACGGUUUUGGGAAAGCCGGCCGGAGAGGGUGAAAGCCCCGUACGUGAAAGCAGAGCUGACUGAGCAGGAUCCGGAGUACCACGAGACACGAGGAACCUUGUGGGAAGUAAGGGGGACCACCCCCUAAGGCUAAAUACUACUUAGUGACCGAUAGCGCAUAGUACUGUGAAGGAAAGGUGAAAAGG
Molecule: ribosomal RNA, 541 nt
Filed under: Ruminococcus sp. OF02-6
Lineage: Bacteria; Bacillati; Bacillota; Clostridia; Eubacteriales; Oscillospiraceae
Description: partial 23S ribosomal RNA
Rfam family: Bacterial large subunit ribosomal RNA
Source: RNAcentral